AGUCACUGACAUUAGAUACCCGCGUAGUCCAGGGUGUAAACGCUGCAGACUUGGUGUUGGAAGCCCUUUGGGGGCAUUCAGUGCCGGAGAGAAGUUGUUAAGUCUGCUACUUGGGGAGUACGUCCGCAAGGAUGAAACUUAAAGGAAUUGGCGGGGGAGCACCGCAACGGGAGGAGCGUGCGGUUUAAUUGGAUUCAACACCGUAAACUCACCAGGGAAGACUGUUACAUGAAGGCCGAGAUGAAGACUCUGCUAGAUUUUCAG
This 264-nucleotide ribosomal RNA is filed under the name uncultured archaeon. RNAcentral's name for it is "partial 16S ribosomal RNA". It matches the Rfam family "Archaeal small subunit ribosomal RNA", at positions 716 to 982 of the family's 1478-position model. The record is from RNAcentral.